GGUCGAUUGCGCGAAUGGCUAAGCGGUGAGGUUGUAACCCUCAAGCCCUCUAGAUAGGUCGGGGUUCGAGUCCCUGGUCGACCACCA
Molecule: transfer RNA, 87 nt
Filed under: Aureispira sp.
Lineage: Bacteria; Pseudomonadati; Bacteroidota; Saprospiria; Saprospirales; Saprospiraceae
Also listed under: 1 other name
Description: tRNA-Tyr
Rfam family: tRNA
About the family: Transfer RNA (tRNA) molecules are approximately 80 nucleotides in length. Their secondary structure includes four short double-helical elements and three loops (D, anti-codon, and T loops).
Source: RNAcentral